Long non-coding RNA from Haliotis rufescens (red abalone), 4531 nucleotides. RefSeq lists it as uncharacterized. Lineage: Eukaryota; Metazoa; Mollusca; Gastropoda; Lepetellida; Haliotidae. The transcript is spliced from 3 exons. The record is from RefSeq and is a predicted model, not a curated record.
AGACAUGUAAUCGCUGCAGUGUCAGCAUGAAGCCAGCUCACAAUGAAGUUGUAUAAUGCUAACUCACAGGGUAGAUAUAUAAUGCUAACUCACAGGGUAGAUGUAUAAUGCUAGCUCACAGGGUAUAUGUAUAACGCUAGCUCACAGGGUAGAUGUAUAAUGCUAGCUCACAAGGAAGUUGUAUAAUGCUAGCUCACAGGGUAGAUGUAUAAGGCCAGCUCACAAGGAAGUUGUAUAAAGCUAGCUCACAGGGUAGAUGUAUAAUGCUAGCUCACAGGGUAGAUGUAUAAUGCUAGCUCACAGGGUAGAUGUAUAAAGCUAGCUCACAGGGUGGAUGUAUAAUGCUAGCUCACAGGGUAGAUGUAUAAUGCUAGCUCACAGGGUAGAUGUAUAAUGCUAGCUCACAGGGUAGAUGUAUAAUGCUAGCUCACUGGGUAGAUGUAUAAUGCUAGCUCACAGGGUAGAUGUAUAAUGCUAGCUCACAGGGAAUGUUAAUAAAGCUAGCUCACAGGGAAUGUUAAUAAAACUAGCUCACAGGGAAUGUUAAUAAUGCUAGCUCACAGGGUAGAUGUAUAAAGCUAGCUCACAGGGUAGAUGUAUAAUGGUAGAUGUAUAAUGCUAGCUCACUGGGUAGAUGUAUAAUGCUAGCUCACAGGGUAGAUGUAUAAUGCUAGCUCACAGGGUAGAUGUAUAAUGGUAGAUGUAUAAUGCUAGCUCACUGGGUAGAUGUAUAAUGCUAGCUCACAGGGUAGAUGUAUAAUGCUAGCUCACAGGGUAGAUGUAUAAAGCUAGCUCACAGGGUAGAUGUAUAAUGCUAGCUCACAGGGAAUGUUAAAAAAGCUAGCUCACAGGGUAGAUGUAUAAUGCUAGCGGUAGAUGUAUAAUGCUAGCUCACAGGGAAUGUUAAUAAAGCUAGCUCACAGGGUAGAUGUAUAAAGCCAGCUCACAGGGUAGAUGUAUAAUGCUAGCUCACAGGGUAGAUGUAUAAUGCUAACUCACAGGGUAGAUGUAUAACGCUAGCUCACAGGGUAGAUGUAUAAUGCUUUAAUAAAGCUAGUUCACAGGGUAGAUGUAUAAUGCUAGCUCACUGGGUAGAUGUAUAAUGCUAGCUCACAGGGUAGUUGUAUAAAGCUAGCUCACAGGGUAGAUGUAUAAAGCUAGCUCACAGGGUAGGUGUAUAAAGCCAGCUCACAGGGUAGGUGUAUAAUGAUACCUCACAGGGUCAUUGCACACAGAACUUCCCUCUUAAUGCAUUGAAACAGUGCACCUCAAGACACUCCCACACAAACACAGCCAACUUUACCCUGUAUGCAUUUUGAUGGAUAAGACACAAGCAUAUGUAUAAAUGAUUGGUUUGCUUGUUAAUGGCCUGAUCACAGAGCUGGGCCUUCUUCCAUUAACGUUAAACUGAGUUCCAUUUGUCUUUGCCUUUACACACUUAAGCCUGUGAGAGAUUUCAACUUGAAAAUGCAUACCACAUUCAGUUUCAAAAGGUAAUGUUUGAAAAUAAACAUUGUAUAUAUAAAUUUGGAAAGCUGACAAACCCCCCACCCUCAACUAAUAUCAACAGACAUAACAGACACGAUUCUCCAUACAUCUUUUUCGUAAAACUGGAAUUUAUUUUUCAGUUAUACAUAACACAAUAUUCAUAUUGGUAAUUUACUAUUAUGUUGAUCUUAUGAAAAUGGAAUCAAUCCAUACGUUCUGUUUUUGUGUGCAUUGAUACCCACCACUCACAGCCUAACAAUUUGUAAUCUUUUUGAAUACAAUGAUAGUGAUAUUGUGAACGCGUCUUAAUUGUACAAAUUAAAGAAAUGCUCAUUAGACAACAGUAAAGGUAUACAGAUAAACAAUUACACAUUUUUUACGUUCAGCAUGGCAAAGAAUAUGGUUGUUUUGAAGUUUUUAAAAAAAAUAAGCCAGCAACUGAUCUUAAUUUGUGGUUUAUUUUGUUGACAGUUAAACGUUUGAAACAGAUGUUUGAUGAUAUUCAACGAACAGACUUUUAGAAAAAUAGUCUCGGAUACCACAAUCUAAUUGUAGAAAUUCAGGAAAUAAUUUUUUGAUACUACUUUGCAUACUUUUUUUCACCAGUAAAAUUAAAAUCCACAAGUUUGUCACAAUUUUGAUGAGCAUGCUGGAAAAACUAUUUUUCCUGGAAUUCUGAAGCUAAUCUAUCCAAUAGAUUUGUGACCUUUCUUCAGUUCAUUAUUUUCUUUAUCAGAUAUGACCUCAAUAUUAAUCCUUUAAUUAAUGUUUGGAUUUAUACAAAAAUGUUGUCAAUCUUAAGUUUUGAAAAGUUUCUACUAUGAAAGGAUUAUUUGUCAGGGAAUGGUGCUGAUACAACCGAAAACGUAUGCUUUAUGAGAUUGUCCUGUUGAAUGUGUUGCCAUUACUCAGAGCAGCCAAGUGAUGUGACCACUUCUUGAUAUUAUAACCCUAUGUUGUUAGACUUAUUUGCUUCACCAGUGCCAUGUCCCCCAGCGCUAUAUAACUGCUUUUCUUUCACUGUGUACUUGCUGGCCAUACUCUCACUGUUGUCUUUGUGCUGUUAACCAAAGAACUACUUAUCAGUGCUGAAUAAAAAAGAAAUAAAUUGUAGGCUAUGUAUGAAGGACACCUCAUUACUAAGUUAGUUUUUUGUUGUUUUUUGGUUUAUUUUUCCUCUUUAUUGUCUAUUGAUGUUUGACAAGCUUUAUAUAUUCUGCCAUGUUUAUUUCAGAUGACACUUCAUUUAGCAAACAAUGCUUGUUUUUAGGGAUACACAAUCAGAUAAUGAAGAAACUGUUGCAGUAUUUAAUGGACUUGUGGUUUGGUUGAUGGUUAAUUAAUGUUGUGUGUAUGUUUCUCUGAGAAAAACUUGAAUAUGUCUUUUUCAUAGCUUAUAGUUGUCAUUGUGUUACUGAAACCAUUAUUGCUUUGGAAUUGUUAGUGUUGUUGGUAAAAAGUGUGAUUAUUUUUUAGAGACAAAAAAUGCGUACCAAAUAAUACUUGGCUGUUUUGAACAAUAGCUCUUCAAAAUCUGAUUAUGUGUCUCAUGUUUGAUUCGUGACAAAAUGCUCAUGAGUUGAUUUCACUGAGCAUCGGUGAGACAUGAUGCAUUCAUGUUUGAUUUUCACCUAACAAUUUUGUCAAAUAUAUUUUGUAAGUGUUUUAAAACAAUGUUUUCCUUAUAAUUUCAUCAAACAUUGAACAUGACCUGAAAAUACUAUUGUUAGUAUUGCCUAAGAAAGCAUGUUUUCUAAAUGUCCGUGUCAAGAGAAUGUCGGUGACAUUUUUGUCAUUUGAAAUGCAUGGUAGUCAGUGUGUAAUGGGCUUGUUGUUGUACUAACUUGUAGAUGCCACCUGGUUACUCAGGUAUAACAGUGCACAGGGUGUAUUUAGUGACAGUGGCCACUUGUUUUACAAAAGUUUGCUAAUAUGUUCUUAACCUUGCUCCAGGAACAUGGUAAGAAUUGGGUCCCAGCCAAGACCUGUUGAUCAAGGAUCAAGUCCCAUAUCCCACCAAUAUGUCUUCCUUGUUUUGUCAGCAUCAUGCUUUGAGUGUUGCCCCAUCGUAGUAAAUCACUUUGGCUUUCUGUCCACUUGUUGAUGAAGCUGGCUAGCUGUUGUAUAACUGAAAUGCUUUUUGUAAUAACAAUAAUGAGUCUGUUUAUGGUACACCAAUUUCAUUCACAAAGUGAAUGAUCAUGGUUUUUACAUUAUUAUCACCGCGGUCAAUGGAUCAGUGUGCACUCGAUAUUGGUUCUCAGCUCCAUGGGGAGUAUACAACCCAAGCUGCCUGUGAGGUGAUAAAAGGUUAACAAUUAAAUAACAUCUCAUCCUACCGGGUACCCACUCACUGCAGCGUGAACAGGGGCAUGUUUGAACAAAGUCACCUGCAUCAGGAGACACCACAUGGACUACAUGUGCUUCAGUGCUUUUCAAACAGUGUCUGAAAGACGUUCCUUUGUUUGUUUGUUGUUUACGGCACUAUCAGCUAUUUGAUGGCGGUCUGUAAAUAAUUGAGUCUGGACCAGACAAUCCAGUGAUUGACAUCAUGAGCAUCGAUCCACAUAUGGCAGCUACCAGACACCGUUUUCAUCAGGACAUUAGGGACAAUUGAGUUGUAAAACACAUUCAUGAAGACCAGGGUGUAAAUUCCCCAAAUUACAGUGAUUGAGUGUCAGUGAACAUGGGGUAAGAGUUAAAAGUGAAGCGUGAAGUAGCUUGCCACUUUGGUGCAACCAGCAAACAUGGUAUGGUGUUGACAGACAAAGGAUUAUGAUCAGGGCAAAUCUGAUAUCUGAACCCAUCAUCAGCAGAUCCUUGCCUGACUAAGGGACACAACUCUUCUCAUUGAAAUGCAUGCCUUACAGCACCCAAACAAAAUUUCUCAAAGAUUCCUGUCAAAUACACUCAACUGAUUAAAGAAAUUUUAGAUUAUGUAUGAGAAAUUUAGUUCAAUUGGUGUCUGUUUCUAAGAUAAAUGAAUGAAAUGUUUGUGUGAUGCAAAAGACAUUUACAACAGUGCUUGACAAGGAAUUGUACA